This is a non-coding RNA of Aedes aegypti (yellow fever mosquito), 73 nucleotides long. The record is from Rfam. NCBI's taxonomy places the organism in Eukaryota, Metazoa, Arthropoda, Insecta, Diptera, Culicidae.
CCUCUCGUGGUGUAGGGGUAGCGCGCCCUAUCUAUUGAGCAGGGAGUCGUGAGUUAGAUUCUCACCGAGAAGA